RNAcentral lists this long non-coding RNA (297 nucleotides) under Elaeis guineensis (African oil palm). RNAcentral's name for it is "long non-coding RNA (EGUI_LNC041086)". The record is from RNAcentral. Lineage: Eukaryota; Viridiplantae; Streptophyta; Magnoliopsida; Arecales; Arecaceae.
CACUGAGCAGACUGGAUUCAAGCGGCUAUAGGUGGAGAGUUGAUGAUGGAAUUCUAAAGGUCAUACACGGCAGUAGAGUUCUAAUGAAGGGAAGAAAGUAUGGAGGACACUACCUUUUGGUAAAAUGCUCGGUGCAAAGUGGCGCUUUAGGAGCAAGUGGGAGCUUAGUGUGAUGUGGAGCUCUAGGAGCAAGUGGAUCGAGCAUGAGAUGAGAGACUCAGUUGGAGAUCGGAUGCCAACCCGUAUCCACUCGUGCCCUCCACUCAAUUUCUUAUGCCCAUCUCAUGCUGAUCCAAC